AGAGGGAUAGUUGGGUCAAAAAGUGGUUCCAUUCCAAUUUUUCUAAGAAAUCUCCAUAAUGCUUUUCAGAUUGGUUGCACCAAUUUGCAGUCCCACCAGCAAU
Molecule: microRNA precursor, 103 nt
Filed under: Marmota monax (woodchuck)
Lineage: Eukaryota; Metazoa; Chordata; Mammalia; Rodentia; Sciuridae
Source: RNAcentral